RNAcentral lists this ribosomal RNA (292 nucleotides) under uncultured bacterium. RNAcentral describes it as "partial 16S ribosomal RNA". It matches the Rfam family "Bacterial small subunit ribosomal RNA", at positions 505 to 796 of the family's 1533-position model. The record is from RNAcentral.
GUGUCAGCAGCCGCGGUAAGACGUAGGGUGCAAGCGUUAAUCGGAAUUACUGGGCGUAAAGCGUGCGCAGGCGGUUUUGUAAGACAGAUGUGAAAUCCCCGGGCUCAACCUGGGAACUGCAUUUGUGACUGCAAGGCUAGAGUGCGUCAGAGGGAGGUGGAAUUCCGCGUGUAGCAGUGAAAUGCGUAGAGAUGCGGAGGAACACCGAUGGCGAAGGCAGCCUCCUGGGAUGACACUGACGCUCAUGCACGAAAGCGUGGGGAGCAAACAGGAUUAGAUACCCGAGUAGUCC